This 253-nucleotide ribosomal RNA is filed under the name uncultured bacterium. RNAcentral's name for it is "partial 16S ribosomal RNA". It matches the Rfam family "Bacterial small subunit ribosomal RNA", at positions 524 to 776 of the family's 1533-position model. The record is from RNAcentral.
UACAGAGGUCUCAAGCGUUGUUCGGAUUCAUUGGGCGUAAAGGGUGUGUAGGUGGCGCCGUAAGUCGGGUGUGAAAUUUCGGAGCUUAACUCCGAAACUGCAUUCGAUACUGCGGUGCUUGAGGACUGGAGAGGAGACUGGAAUUCAUGGUGUAGCAGUGAAAUGCGUAGAGAUCAUGAGGAAGACCAGUGGCGAAGGCGGGUCUCUGAACAGUUCCUGACACUGAGACACGAAGGCCAGGGGAGCAAACGGG